CACGCUGGCGGCAGGCCUAACACAUGCAAGUCGAGCGGUUGCACCGGGUAUGUUGCUCCCUGGUGUUCAACGUCCGCCGGCUCAGUCAGAUCUCUUAAUGAUACCUCUGGUGAACGAUAACCACAUCCGGUUGUACCUAUUGCCGCAUAGAUCCAUCGGGAAAGAAUCGGUCCGUGUCGGAGCGUCAACUAUCUGAUGUCCGUGCAUCGCAAGGGGUGCACCCUAAGGUAAUGUGUUACCAUUGCCACCAUCCUUGGCACUGCUCCAAGGUCAAUCACCAACACUGGGACUGAGACACGGUCCAGACUCAUACGGGAGGCAGCAGUGGGGAAUAUUGGACAAUGGGCGAAAGCCUGAUCCAGCCAUGCCGCGUGUGUGAAGAACGCUUUCGGGCUUGUAAAGCACCUU
Molecule: ribosomal RNA, 408 nt
Filed under: Halomonas sp. Sal4
Lineage: Bacteria; Pseudomonadati; Pseudomonadota; Gammaproteobacteria; Oceanospirillales; Halomonadaceae
Description: bacterial SSU rRNA
Rfam family: Bacterial small subunit ribosomal RNA
Source: RNAcentral